This 433-nucleotide ribosomal RNA is filed under the name uncultured bacterium. RNAcentral's name for it is "partial 16S ribosomal RNA". It matches the Rfam family "Bacterial small subunit ribosomal RNA", at positions 29 to 507 of the family's 1533-position model. The record is from RNAcentral.
AACGAACGCUGGCGGCAUGCCUAACACAUGCAAGUCGAACGAGACCUUCGGGUCUAGUGGCGCACGGGUGCGUAACGCGUGGGAACCUGCCCUUAGGUUCGGAAUAACUCCCCGAAAGGGGUGCUAAUACCGGAUAAUGUCUUCGGACCAAAGAUUUAUCGCCUUUGGAUGGGCCCGCGUUGGAUUAGCUAGUUGGUAGGGUAAAAGCCUACCAAGGCGACGAUCCAUAGCUGGUCUGAGAGGAUGAUCAGCCACACUGGGACUGAGACACGGCCCAGACUCCUACGGGAGGCAGCAGUGGGGAAUAUUGGACAAUGGGCGAAAGGCUGAUCCAGCAAUGCCGCGUGAGUUAUGAAGGCCUUAGGGUUGUAAAGCUCUUUUACCCGGGAUGAUAAUGACAGUACCGGGAGAAUAAGCUCCGGCUAACUCCGUG